AGAAGGAAGAGAGGAAAAAGAAAAGGAGGAAGGGAAACAAGAAAGGAAGAGAGAGAUGGAGGGUAAAAGAGAUUCGGGGAUUGAUCUGAUGGUGCACAGGUUACGGUCAAAGUGGCACAGUGUUGGAAUAAAGAUUGACGGCGGGAACGACGGAAUCACUGGGAAGACUGGAUUUGGGAGCUCAAGCGGCGAAAAGAUUUUGAAAAUGAUUUUUAGCGAGUGAUUUAAUUUGGUGAAUUUUAGGGACGUUACAAACCUACCCCACUUAAACUGAAUCUCAUCCUUGAGAUUCGGCUGAAUUCUGAAGAGAUGAGGAAACUCUUUCUUUAAAGCACCUUUGCAUUCCCAUGUGGCUUCUUUUUCACUAUGCCUACUCCAUUGAACUCUGCAAAUCCACACCACUGAAUUUUUUAUCCUCUUGGUGACAAUGUCUAUGAUCUUGACGGGAAUACCGAAGAUCCUUCUGCAGGUCUAUUGUUUCCACUGGUACUUGCUCUUCUAGGACUCUCAAACAUUUCCUCAGCUAGGAGACAUGGAACACCGGGUGUAUAUCUAACAUUUCUUCGGGCUGCUGAAUGCAGUAUUCCAUUGCUCCAAUUCUCUUCAGCACCAGGUACGGUCCAAUAUACCGAGGGGCUAAUUUUCCUUGGACCUAAAACCUUUGAGUCCCUCGGAUCGGUGAGACCUUGAGAUAAUGAAGUCUCCUACAUUGAAACUCAACUCUCAUCUCCUCUUGUCCGAGUAGCUUUUCUGCCUGGACUAUGCUGCCUUCAGCUUUUCUCUGAUUUCGACCACUCGGUCUUCCACGUCUUUUAUAAAGGCUGGUCCAACUAAGGUGCGUUCUCCCACUUCUGACCACAUCAAAGGGGUUCUGCAUUUUCUUCCGUAGAGAGCCUCAAAUGGAGACAUGCCUAAACUGGCCUGAUACCUGUUGUUGUAUGAGAACUCUGCAUAGGGUAAACUCUGCUCCCAGUCCUUGCCAUAGGUAAGGACACAAGCUCUCAACAUAUCUUCAAUUAUUUGAUUCACCCUUUCUAUUUGACCAUCAGUCUGUGGGUGAUAAGCCAAACUAAAAUCCAACUUGGUUCCCAUGGCUUUAUGCAGACUUUUCCAAAACCUAGAGGUAAAUUGGGUACCUCUAUCCAAAAUAAUUCUGCUAGGUACACUAUGCAGCUUCACUAUGUUGUUCACAUAGAGCUGAGCCAAUUUUUCUCCACCAUAAUUGGUCCGUACGGGUAAGAAGUGAGCGACCUUAGUGAGUCGGUCCACUAUUACCCAUAUGGAGUCAUUUCCCUUCCUAGUCUUGGGCAAACCAACCACAAAAUCCAUACCAAUUUUAUGGUGGCUAUCCAACUGGGUUUUAAGCAGUAAAACAAUAUGCAAUUUAUAAAAACAGCCAAUAGGUUGUGUCUAUAAAACUGGGUUAAAUAUGCAUCAAAGGGUGAGAUUGGGCUUGCCAUCCUAAAAGCCUUCCGGGAGUUCCUGCUCGUGGUAUGGGUCCUCGGGCUUCGGCUCGCGGUACUGGCCUCCAAGCUCCUCUUCAGGCUCCUCCUCCUUGGUUACUCCAUUAACUGCGGCACACACAAGCAAAAAUAAACAAAAAGAAAGAGGUUUUUAGAACCGUACAUUGAGCUCGAGGAGAGAGAGAGAGAGAGAGCUAGAAAGAGCUAGAAAGGGUGUUCAUUAGGGAGAUGGUAGGCAAUUGAGUAUAAAUAUAUUUAGAAAUGUUGUGGUCGAAUUUGGGAAUCACGGGAGGUGUUUAGGCGCAUAAAAUGUCGGCGAACUGUGAUUUGGGGCAUAAAAUAAAGGGUCCAUGGACCUCUUUGUUAGAAAAGUGCGAGAUGGCGGAGGGGCUCCUGGAGAAAAAAGGAAAAGGAGGGGGGUCUAGGUGCAAAUAGGGAUAAGGGGAGGGGUAAAAGGCAAUUUUGACUUCUCCUUCUCAAAAUAGAGGAGGGAAGGGGGGAUGCCGGGCCGGGGGCGGUCGGCGGGGUGGCAGUGCUUGCCGGUGCGGCGAUGCCCACCCGUGGCCGGGGAGAGGGGGAAAAGGGAGAGAAGUGAGAGGAGAACCCAUUCCUCCCCUCACCUUGGGUGAAGGAGGUGUGGCACGGCGGCUGCCAGCCGGAACCUGGGAGGCAGCGGUGUUCUGGUGGCGGGGAACUAGACGGCGGUGGCACUCUGGCGGCGAGGGAGAGGGAGGUGGGCUGGCGAGCUCGAGGAGGCGUCGGAGUCCCCUUUUAUAGGUCAGAGGGAAGGGGGUGGCGACAGGCGGCGCAAGGGUGGCGGCGGUAGGGGCCAGCUUGGCCGGCGAGCGGUGCGGCGGAGUGGUGGCGUGCGAGCGUGGGUGGUAGGGGCCAGGCAUGGGCGGGGCGGUUGGUGGUGCUGGCGGGAGUGGUGCAGCAGCGUGGCACGCAUGGUGUGCACACGCAAGUGGGGCUGGAAGGGCACGCUGGUGGGUGGGCGAGCAGGGCGAGGGGCUGGGUUGGCACGCAGCGUGGCAAGGGUGGGGCACGCUGGCGCGCGGCGUGCUUUCGUGCAGCGCAGUAGGGGCCGAGGCAAGGCGCGCGCGGUGCGUGGCCAAGGCGCGGUAGGGGCUGGAGUGGGGCUCGCUGGCAUGCGGCGUGGCCAGGGCGCUAGUGCGGCCCGAGGUGCGGGGGGGCAAGGUGUGGCAUGGGCUCUGGCGUGUGCGUGGAGAAGAAGGAAGAGAGGAAAAGAAAAGGAGGAAGGGAAAGAAGAAAGGAAGAGAGAGAUGGGGGGUAUAAGAGAUUCGGGGAUUGAUCUGAUGGUGCACAGGGUACGGUCAAAGUCGCAUGGCGAUGGAAUAAAGAGAGAUGGCGGGAACGACGGAAUCGCCAGGAAGACGGGAUUUGGGAUCUCAAGCAGUGAAAAUAUUUUGAAAAUGAUUUUUAGCAAGUGAUUUAAUUUGGUGAAUUUUAGGGACGUUACACCGGUCAUCGAGUAGGUGAUCACAUUGAAGAUGAUCUAGAACCUAGUGUUGUUAUUCAUAGCAACACAUCUGGAUCGAUGGUGGACCUUGCUAGCGCAAGAGCAACUCAGACAGUAGAGGUGGUAGCUAAGGCUGGCGAUGAUCUUGCUACGACCAUGCAAGCCAUGCCAAAGGGACCAUCUCCUACCAUC
RNAcentral lists this long non-coding RNA (3135 nucleotides) under Setaria viridis. RNAcentral's name for it is "long non-coding RNA (SVIR_LNC001936)". The record is from RNAcentral. Lineage: Eukaryota; Viridiplantae; Streptophyta; Magnoliopsida; Poales; Poaceae.